AAGAGAAGAGCAUGUCAAGUUAGCCAAGGAGACUGCCUGAAACCAAGGAGAAAAUGGCGUAACCAAACACCUUUUAAAUAAUGGAGCAGGCAAGUCAUCCUUGGCUACUAAACAAAUAUGACUCUCCUCU
Nicotiana attenuata is the source of this 130-nucleotide microRNA precursor. The record is from Rfam. NCBI's taxonomy places the organism in Eukaryota, Viridiplantae, Streptophyta, Magnoliopsida, Solanales, Solanaceae.